GCGUGUGUGAAGAAGGCCUGCGGGUUGUAAAGCACUUUCAGUGGGGAAGAAAAGCCUGAGGCGAAUACCCUUAGGUGUUGACGUUACCCACAGAAGAAGCACCGGCUAACUCCGUGCCAGCAGCCGCGGUAAUACGGAGGGUGCAAGCGUUAAUCGGAAUCACUGGGCGUAAAGCGCACGUAGGCGGCGAGUUAAGUCAGAUGUGAAAGCCCUGGGCUCAACCUGGGAAUGGCAUUUGAUACUGGCUGGCUAGAGUCUGAUAGAGGGGGGUGGAAUUCCAGGUGUAGCGGUGAAAUGCGU
This 300-nucleotide ribosomal RNA is filed under the name uncultured bacterium. RNAcentral's name for it is "bacterial SSU rRNA". It matches the Rfam family "Bacterial small subunit ribosomal RNA", at positions 399 to 691 of the family's 1533-position model. The record is from RNAcentral.